Long non-coding RNA from Canis lupus familiaris (dog), 1034 nucleotides. RefSeq lists it as uncharacterized. Lineage: Eukaryota; Metazoa; Chordata; Mammalia; Carnivora; Canidae. The record is from RefSeq and is a predicted model, not a curated record. The transcript is spliced from 3 exons.
CCUGCUCAGGCAUCACACCCCUUCUAUUAUCCUUUCUCUCUCUAACAUCAAUCCCUGCCUCUUUUACUACCAGACCAUGGCUCUAACACCCAAACAUGCUCUAGUAUCUCCCAUCCAGCUUCUGUGAGACCACAUCCCCUGACUUCCCUUCUACCUCGCUGGCUCUUUCUGGAUGUCUCAUAGAUACCUCAAAUCCAACAAAUCAGAACUUUAAAUUUUAUAACUAUCCUUCUCCCCUAUCCCACCCCUUUAGGCUGCCCUACUUGGUUAAACAUCACCAUAUUCCACACAGCUGCUCAAGACAGAAACCACCUAUUUCCUUCCUUCCCCCUCUUCUCACAUCAAAUCCACCAACAAGUCCUGUUAAUUCUGUCUUCAAAAUAUAUCUCAAAUCCAUCCACUUUUCAUCUUCACUGCCACCACCUUAAUCUAGGUCAUAAUCAACUAUUGCCUAAUCAAAGAAACGGCCUUCUGACCAAUCGGUUCUCCAAACAACAGCUAAGCUAUCUUAAAAGUUAAAAGUGAAUUAUGCUACUCCUUUAAUCAAAACCUUCUGAUGGCUUCUCAGUAUCCUUAAAAUAAAAUUUACAUUCCUUACUUUGACUCAGCAGGAUUUGAUUCCAGGCUAUCUCUCCCUAUCAUCCAUUUGUUUCAGUAACACUCUCUUCCCUCAACUUCUAGAACAGCUAUCAAUGUGCAGUAUGAUACUCUCUCAUGAUGCUGAGCAGCAACAGCAAGCCACAACUUCCCAGUCAGCCAGGCAAUUGGGAGGGGGGUCCAGUCACUUUGUCAUGAGAACACUCAAGUGACCCUCUGGAGAAGUCUACAUGGUGAGUAAUCAAGACCUGUUACCAACAGCCAGCAAGGAACUGACACGUCCAGCCAACAGCUUUGUGAGUGAGCCGUCAGGUGACAGCAGCCCAGCCCACAGCUUGACUCCAACCUCACAAGAGAACCUGAAUCAGAGCCACCCAGCUAAGCCACUCCCAGAUUCCUGACCUACAAAAACUGUUUAAUAAUCUAUGUGUGUUGUU